CCUACGGGAGGCAGCAGUGAGGAAUAUUGGUCAAUGGACGAGAGUCUGAACCAGCCAAGUAGCGUGAAGGAUGACUGCCCUAUGGGUUGUAAACUUCUUUUAUAUGGGAAUAAAAUGUUCCACGUGUGGGAUUUUGUAUGUACCAUAUGAAUAAGGAUCGGCUAACUCCGUGCCAGCAGCCGCGGUAAUACGGAGGAACCGAGCGUUAUCCGGAUUUAUUGGGUUUAAAGGGAGCGUAGGUGGAUUGUUAAGUCAGUUGUGAAAGUUUGCGGCUCAACCGUAAAAUUGCAGUUGAAACUGGCAGUCUAGAGUACAGUAGAGGUGGGCGGAAUUCGUGGUGUAGCGGUGAAAUGCUUAGAUAUCACGAAGAACUCCGAUUGCGAAGGCAGCUCACUGGACUGCAACUGACACUGAGGCUCGAAAGUGUGGGUAUCAAACAGGAUUAGAUCCCCGGGUAGUC
This 460-nucleotide ribosomal RNA is filed under the name uncultured bacterium. Its description in RNAcentral is "partial 16S ribosomal RNA". It matches the Rfam family "Bacterial small subunit ribosomal RNA", at positions 338 to 795 of the family's 1533-position model. The record is from RNAcentral.